GAUCAUGGCUCAGGACGAACGCAGGCGGCGUGCUUAACACAUGCAAGUCGAACGGUAAGGCCCUUCGGGGUACACGAGUGGCGAACGGGUGAGUAACACGUGGGUGAUCUGCCCUGCACUUCGGGAUAAGCUUGGGAAACUGGGUCUAAUACCGGAUAGGACCACGGUCUGCAUGGAUUGUGGUGGAAAGCUUUGCGGUGUGGGAUGGGCCCGCGGCCUAUCAGCUUGUUGGUGGGGUGAUGGCCUACCAAGGCGACGACGGGUAGCCGGCCUGAGAGGGUGUCCGGCCACACUGGGACUGAGAUACGGCCCAGACUCCUACGGGAGGCAGCAGUGGGGAAUAUUGCACAAUGGGCGCAAGCCCUGAUGCAGCGACGCCGCGUGGGGAUGACGGCCUUCGGGUUGUAAACCUCUUUCAGUAGGGACGAAGCGUAAGUGACGGUACCUAUAGAAGAAGCACCGGCCAACUACGUG
Molecule: ribosomal RNA, 474 nt
Filed under: uncultured bacterium
Lineage: Bacteria
Description: bacterial SSU rRNA
Rfam family: Bacterial small subunit ribosomal RNA
Source: RNAcentral